GACUAAACUGUCUCUUAUGGACAUUCAAUGAAACUGAUCUCUCAGUCCAAAAGCUGAAAUACUUCCACCAGACGAGAAGACCCUGUGGAGCUUCCAAACCAACACCAACGCCUAUGGUUAUGCGGUUUUUAGUUGGGGCGACUUCGGAGAACAAAAAAACCUCCAACUAGGAAAUUUUCCUGAUUAAGAUCUACACAUCUAAAUGUUUAACUUGACCCAGUAGGCAUUAUCCCAUCUGAUCAAGGAACCAAGUUACCCCAGGGAUAACAGCGCUAUCCUCUUCUAGAGUCCUUAUCGACAAGAGGGCUUACGACCUCGAUGU
RNAcentral lists this ribosomal RNA (322 nucleotides) under Ophisops elegans (snake-eyed lizard). RNAcentral describes it as "partial 16S ribosomal RNA". It matches the Rfam family "Bacterial large subunit ribosomal RNA", at positions 2009 to 2532 of the family's 2925-position model. The record is from RNAcentral. Lineage: Eukaryota; Metazoa; Chordata; Lepidosauria; Squamata; Lacertidae.